GAUGAACGCUGGCGGCGUGCCUAAUACAUGCAAGUCGAGCGAACAGACGAGGAGCUUGCUCCUCUGACGUUAGCGGCGGACGGGUGAGUAACACGUGGAUAACCUACCUAUAAGACUGGGAUAACUUCGGGAAACCGGAGCUAGUACCGGAUAAUAUGUUGAAUCGCAUGGUUCAACAGUGAAAGACGGUCUUGCUGUCACUUAUAGAUGGAUCCGCGCCGCAUUAGCUAGUUGGUAAGGUAACGGCUUACCAAGGCAACGAUGCGUAGCCGACCUGAGAGGGUGAUCGGCCACACUGGAACUGAGACACGGCCCAGACUCCUACGGGAGGCAGCAGUAGGGAAUCUUCCGCAAUGGGCGAAAGCCUGACGGAGCAACGCCGCGUGAGUGAAGAAGGUCUUCGGAUCGUAAAACUCUGUUAUUAGGGAAGAACAAAUGUGUAAGUAACUAUGCACGUCUUGACGGUACCUAAUCAGAAAGCCACGGCUAACUACGUG
RNAcentral lists this ribosomal RNA (497 nucleotides) under uncultured bacterium. Its description in RNAcentral is "partial 16S ribosomal RNA". It matches the Rfam family "Bacterial small subunit ribosomal RNA", at positions 28 to 507 of the family's 1533-position model. The record is from RNAcentral.